RNAcentral lists this non-coding RNA (29 nucleotides) under Rattus norvegicus (Norway rat). The record is from RNAcentral. Lineage: Eukaryota; Metazoa; Chordata; Mammalia; Rodentia; Muridae.
UGGUUUGAACACUUAGAAGAUGGGAAUAA